This 62-nucleotide transfer RNA is filed under the name Orthopagus splendens. RNAcentral's name for it is "tRNA-Asn". The record is from RNAcentral. Lineage: Eukaryota; Metazoa; Arthropoda; Insecta; Hemiptera; Dictyopharidae.
UUAAUUGUAACUUAAAUAAAAGUAAUUCACUGUUAAUGAAUAUAUGGUAAUACCCAAUUAAA